This 497-nucleotide ribosomal RNA is filed under the name uncultured bacterium. RNAcentral describes it as "partial 16S ribosomal RNA". It matches the Rfam family "Bacterial small subunit ribosomal RNA", at positions 28 to 507 of the family's 1533-position model. The record is from RNAcentral.
GAUGAACGCUGGCGGCGUGCCUAAUACAUGCAAGUCGAGCGAACAGAUAAGGAGCUUGCUCCCUUGACGUUAGCGGCGGACGGGUGAGUAAGACGUGCGUAACCUACCUCUAAGACUGGGAUAACUCCGGGAAACCGGUGCCAAUGCAGGAUAACAUGUUGAACGGCAUGGUUCUACAGUUAAUGGCGGCUUUGCUGUCACUUAUAGAUGGACCCGCGCCGUAUUAGCUAGUUGGUGAGGUAACGGCUCACCAAGGCAACGAUACGUAGCUGACCUGAGAGGGUGAUCGGCCACACUGGAACUGAGACACGGUCCAGACUCCUACGGGAGGCAGCAGUGGGGAAUCUUGCGCAAUGGGCGAAAGCCUGACGGAGCAACGCCGCGUGAGUGAUGAAGGUCUUCGGGUCGUAAAGCUCUGUUGUUGGGGAAGAAAAGAUGCGGAAGAAACUGUGGGCGUCUUGACGGUACCUAAUCAGAAAGCAACGGCUAACUACGUG